UACGUAGGGGCUAGCGUUAUCCGGAUUUACUGGGCGUAAAGGGUGCGUAGGCGGUCUUUCAAGUCAGGAGUGAAAGGCUACGGCUCAACCGUAGUAAGCUCUUGAAACUGUAAGACUUGAGUGCAGGAGAGGAGAGUGGAAUUCCUAGUGUAGCGGUGAAAUGCGUAGAUAUUGGGAAGAACACCGGUGGCGAAGGCGACUUGCUGGGCAGCAACUGACGCUGAGGCGCGAAAAGCCAGGGGAGCAAACGGGAUUAGAUACCCUGGUAGUCCCUGA
This 276-nucleotide ribosomal RNA is filed under the name uncultured prokaryote. RNAcentral describes it as "partial 16S ribosomal RNA". It matches the Rfam family "Bacterial small subunit ribosomal RNA", at positions 524 to 799 of the family's 1533-position model. The record is from RNAcentral.